RNAcentral lists this transfer RNA (82 nucleotides) under Hirsutella minnesotensis 3608. Its description in RNAcentral is "tRNA-Leu (CAA) (tRNA-Leu-CAA-1-1)". It matches the Rfam family "tRNA". From Rfam's summary of the family: Transfer RNA (tRNA) molecules are approximately 80 nucleotides in length. Their secondary structure includes four short double-helical elements and three loops (D, anti-codon, and T loops). Further hydrogen bonds mediate the characteristic L-shaped molecular structure. tRNAs have two regions of fundamental functional importance: the anti-codon, which is responsible for specific mRNA codon recognition, and the 3' end, to which the tRNAs corresponding amino acid is attached (by aminoacyl-tRNA synthetases). tRNAs cope with the degeneracy of the genetic code in two manners: having more than one tRNA (with a specific anti-codon) for a particular amino acid; and 'wobble' base-pairing, i.e. permitting non-standard base-pairing at the 3rd anti-codon position. Lineage: Eukaryota; Fungi; Ascomycota; Sordariomycetes; Hypocreales; Ophiocordycipitaceae. The record is from RNAcentral.
GACAGGAUGGCCGAGUGGUCUAAGGCGUGGUGUUCAAGCCACCAUAUCGAGAGAUGCGAGGGUUCGAAUCCCUCUUCUGUCA